AUGUAUAUUAGUACAUCACUCAGUACUAACCAGAGCACGGUCGUAGUAAACUAUAGUUUAUUACUUCCAUUCAAAUCAAUUAACUUAAAACGCAAAUACGCCACCUAGUUUUAUAGAAAUAAAAUAAAAACACUGCCUUGUUAUCAAAAUUAAUUACAACACGGAUCCAGUAUCCACGUACAUUUACAUCAUCGUUGUAGUUUCUUAGAAGUCUACUAUUACACGUUUCUAUUUAGGUAAUACACCUUGCGUGUAAGUGUUUAAUUAUUUUGAAAGGUCAACGAAAAAUAAUAAUUAUACUGUAAAGUCAUAAUGGCUUAUGAUCAGUGCAAAUAUAUUAUAUACUGCAGACUUGUGAAAUAGUAAUAACAAAUCUUAGUAUAACAUAGUUUUGAUUGAAGUGUUAAUAGUUAAUAUGACCAUUAAUAUUAAACAAAUGGAUGCUACCCAUAGACAACAUUAUUUAGAGAAAAACGAUGCUUGUCACUUUACGUGAACUUCUGAUCAAUAAAGAAACUAACAUUUAAACAAGAAUGAAAGAAAUGCAAUUAUGUUGCGAUUAAGAGGAUGCAACACGGACAUUUGUUGUCUCCGUCUUACAAGUGCGUAACAUAGAAAAUUUUAGUAAUAUAUGUCAAGGCCGUAACUGGUUGGGGGGGAGGGUCACAGGGGUCCUGCAGACUUUAACUUUGAGUCUUGCUAGAUCAGUGAUUCCCAUCAUUUUUUACUCAAAACCUUUUAGAUUUUCAAAAA
Molecule: long non-coding RNA, 753 nt
Organism: Acyrthosiphon pisum (pea aphid)
Lineage: Eukaryota; Metazoa; Arthropoda; Insecta; Hemiptera; Aphididae
Exons: 2
Source: RefSeq, a predicted model, not a curated record